GAAAUUCAAAAGACGCCGCUAUUUCCGGGAGGCAGCUAGCAAAGGGAGAAUGUGUUACUACGUUAUCCCAAGAAAGGAACAAAACUGCACUAAAACACAACACAAAGAAAGCAAAUGUUAAUCAGUUGAACCAGAAGAUAAUCGAUGAAAGACUAAACAAACGGUAAGCAUAAACAAAAAACCACGCACCUGGGAUGCAAUGUCGCAAGAGAGAAAAAGAGAGGAGGAAGACGAUAAAGAUAUCACAAACAACAAUAGAAUGCCGCAACAAAAAGAAGAUGUGCCGAAAGGGAGAAAAAGAAGAGUGCCGCGAGAGAAAAAGGAGAAGAGGAAGAGGAAGAUAUCAGAAACUGAAUGCCGCGAAGAGUUUGCAGUCCAUUUAAAAUGAAACUCGGCGUCGGUUUCUCCAGAUAGCCGAUGUUUAUAUGACUAUAGACGUCAGUUCUGUUACUAAUUCGACGUCCAAGUUAACUUUUCAACUGACCUUUUGAAUCCCACUAGACAUCGGUGACAAUGGGAACCAACGUCUAGGAAGCUGAAACGAUUGACAUUUGAUUUCCUGUCAGGGAUGUUGACAACAGUUGUGAUGGGGCGCCGACGUCUUUAAUGAUGCACAUCAUUACUUACAGGCACAUAGACGUCGGUGCCCCUUCUAGCCAACGUCUAUGGCCCUCGAAUUUGGUUAAUCUAAUUAAUUACAGGCACUUAGACGUCGCGUGCACAACCGACAUCUAAAUUGAAUAUUUUUUAUCUUUCCCGCCUUCCAUAUUCAGGCCUUAGACGUUGCCGGUUGACUAAGCGACGUCUAAGCGUCUGGGAAUUAGGUGAAAGCAUUAAUUGCAGGCCUAUAGA
Molecule: long non-coding RNA, 852 nt
Filed under: Vigna radiata
Lineage: Eukaryota; Viridiplantae; Streptophyta; Magnoliopsida; Fabales; Fabaceae
Description: long non-coding RNA (VRAD_LNC011897)
Source: RNAcentral